RNAcentral lists this non-coding RNA (170 nucleotides) under Spinacia oleracea (spinach). Its description in RNAcentral is "Eukaryotic large subunit ribosomal RNA". It matches the Rfam family "Eukaryotic large subunit ribosomal RNA", at positions 2825 to 2984 of the family's 3401-position model. Lineage: Eukaryota; Viridiplantae; Streptophyta; Magnoliopsida; Caryophyllales; Amaranthaceae. The record is from Rfam by way of RNAcentral.
GAUGACUGGUUUGUGGCAGCCAAGCGUUAAUAGCUAUGUUGCUUUUUGAUUGAUCCUUCAUUGUCGUCUCUUCCCGUCGUUGUGAAAUACUAGGACUCACAAAUUGUUGAAUUGUUCACCUACAAUGGCGAACAGGUGAAUUUGUUUUUUAGACCGUCAAGUGACAUGUG